GGCGAAAAGCGACGUGUACGGACUGGGAGUGGUUUUGCUGGAGCUGCUGACGGGGAAGAGGGCGAUUUUUAAAUCGGACGACGGGACGCCGACGAGUAUAGUGGAGUUUGCGUUGGCGAAGAUCACCGGCGGGGAGCUGUGGGGGAUACUGGACGGGAGAGUACGGCCCCCGGACGUGAACGAGUCGGAGGCGGUGGGGCUGGGGGGGG
RNAcentral lists this long non-coding RNA (209 nucleotides) under Linum usitatissimum (flax). RNAcentral's name for it is "long non-coding RNA (LUSI_LNC000102)". Lineage: Eukaryota; Viridiplantae; Streptophyta; Magnoliopsida; Malpighiales; Linaceae. The record is from RNAcentral.